CAACUUGAGAGUUUGAUCCUGGCUCAGAACGAACGCUGGCGGCAGGCCUAACACAUGCAAGUCGAGCGAGACCUUCGGGUCUAGCGGCGGACGGGUUAGUAACGCGUGGGAACGUGCCCUUCUCUGCGGAAUAGCCACUGGAAACGGUGAGUAAUACCGCAUACGCCCUUCGGGGGAAAGAUUUAUCGGAGAAGGAUCGGCCCGCGUUAGAUUAGAUAGUUGGUGGGGUAACGGCCUACCAAGUCUACGAUCUAUAGCUGGUUUUAGAGGAUGAUCAGCAACACUGGGACUGAGACACGGCCCAGACUCCUACGGGAGGCAGCAGUGGGGAAUCUUAGACAAUGGGCGCAAGCCUGAUCUAGCCAUGCCGCGUGUGUGAUGAAGGUCUUAGGAUCGUAAAGCACUUUCGCCAGGGAUGAUAAUGACAGUACCUGGUAAAGAAACCCCGGCUAACUCCGUGCCAGCAGCCGCGGUAAUACGGAGGGGGUUAGCGUUGUUCGGAAUUACUGGGCGUAAAGCG
Molecule: ribosomal RNA, 520 nt
Filed under: Ruegeria sp. R8_1
Lineage: Bacteria; Pseudomonadati; Pseudomonadota; Alphaproteobacteria; Rhodobacterales; Roseobacteraceae
Description: bacterial SSU rRNA
Rfam family: Bacterial small subunit ribosomal RNA
Source: RNAcentral